UCAAAUCGUAGGUUUGAAUUCUUACCCAGCUAGGUUUCGAGAAAGAAGAUAGAUUAAGAUGUCAUUGAUAAUUGAGUGGAUCUGAUGGUGACGAUCAUCCAUUUCAUGUAGAAUCAAUGGAGCUAGUGUCACAUAAUAGUGAGCCGGUGUUUGGGGAAGGCGAUGAAUACGAAGACGGAGACUGUUCAGUUGCCGGAAACUGUGACAAACCUGACUCAAUGCAGUUGGAAAGAGAAUUCCUUCUGCCUAUGGUGGGAUUGGAGUUGGAGAUCAUCCAUCAACUAGAGUUGGAGAACACCACGGAGUUCACGGUUCACGGUUCUUUUGGUGUAAUUAAUUCUAGUAUGUUUGGUUAGAUUUCGUUUGUUACUCCGAAUAUGUUGUAGGGUGAAUUGUUGGAUACUUUGAUGCUUUCUAUGGUUUAAUUUAUAUGUGAUUCUUGCAUAUGAAUGGUUUAACUAUUCUACUAA
This is a long non-coding RNA of Salvia splendens (bonfire salvia), 470 nucleotides long. RefSeq lists it as uncharacterized. Lineage: Eukaryota; Viridiplantae; Streptophyta; Magnoliopsida; Lamiales; Lamiaceae. The transcript has 2 exons. The record is from RefSeq and is a predicted model, not a curated record.